This 433-nucleotide ribosomal RNA is filed under the name uncultured bacterium. Its description in RNAcentral is "partial 16S ribosomal RNA". It matches the Rfam family "Bacterial small subunit ribosomal RNA", at positions 29 to 507 of the family's 1533-position model. The record is from RNAcentral.
AACGAACGCUGGCGGCAUGCCUAACACAUGCAAGUCGAACGAGACCGUCGGGUCUAGUGGCGCACGGGUGCGUAACGCGUGGGAACCUGCCCUUAGGUUCGGAAUAACUCCCCGAAAGGGGUGCUAAUACCGGAUAAUGUCUUCGGACCAAAGAUUUAUCGCCUUUGGAUGGGCCCGCGUUGGAUUAGCUAGUUGGUAGGGUAAAAGCCUACCAAGGCGACGAUCCAUAGCUGGUCUGAGAGGAUGCUCAGCCACACUGGGACUGAGACACGGCCCAGACUCCUACGGGAGGCAGCAGUGGGGAAUAUUGGGCACUGGGCGCAGAUCUGAUCCAGCAAUGCCGCGUGAGUGAUGAAGGCCUUAGGGUUGUAAAGCUCUUUUACCCGGGAUGAUAGUGACAGUACCGGGAGAAUAAGCUCCGGCUAACUCCGUG